ACGUAGGGGGCGAGCGUUGUCCGGAAUCAUUGGGCGUAAAGCGCGUGUAGGCGGCUCGAUAAGUCCGGUGUGAAACCUUGGGGCUCAACCCCAAGCCUGCACUGGAUACUGCCGAGCUAGAGUCCGGGAGGGGAGAGCGGAAUUCCUAGUGUAGCGGUGAAAUGCGCAGAUAUUAGGAAGAACACCGGUGGCGAAGGCGGCUCUCUGGAACGGUACUGACGCUGAGACGCGAAAGCGUGGGGAGCGAACAGGA
Molecule: ribosomal RNA, 253 nt
Filed under: uncultured prokaryote
Description: partial 16S ribosomal RNA
Rfam family: Bacterial small subunit ribosomal RNA
Source: RNAcentral